RNAcentral lists this ribosomal RNA (1055 nucleotides) under uncultured bacterium. RNAcentral's name for it is "bacterial SSU rRNA". It matches the Rfam family "Bacterial small subunit ribosomal RNA", at positions 346 to 1397 of the family's 1533-position model. The record is from RNAcentral.
AGGCAGCAGUGGGGAAUAUUGCACAAUGGGCGCAAGCCUGAUGCAGCAACGCCGCGUGAGGGACGACGGCCUUCGGGUUGUAAACCUCUUUUAGUAGGGAAGAAGCGAUGUGCUUGUCACAUCAUGACGGUACCUGCAGAAAAAGCACCGGCUAACUACGUGCCAGCAGCCGCGGUAAUACGUAGGGUGCAAGCGUUAUCCGGAAUUAUUGGGCGUAAAGAGCUCGUAGGCGGUUUGUCGCGUCUGCUGUGAAAACUGGAGGCUCAACCUCCAGCCUGCAGUGGGUACGGGCAGACUAGAGUGCGGUAGGGGAGAUUGGAAUUCCUGGUGUAGCGGUGGAAUGCGCAGAUAUCAGGAGGAACACCAAUGGCGAAGGCAGAUCUCUGGGCCGUAACUGACGCUGAGGAGCGAAAGCAUGGGGAGCGAACAGGAUUAGAUACCCUGGUAGUCCAUGCCGUAAACGUUGGGAACUAGAUGUAGGGACCAUUCCACGGUUUCUGUGUCGCAGCUAACGCAUUAAGUUCCCCGCCUGGGGAGUACGGCCGCAAGGCUAAAACUCAAAGGAAUUGACGGGGGCCCGCACAAGCGGCGGAGCAUGCGGAUUAAUUCGAUGCAACGCGAAGAACCUUACCCAAGACUUGACAUAUACGAGAACGGGCUAGAAAUAGUUCACUCUUUGGACACUCGUAAACAGGUGGUGCAUGGUUGUCGUCAGCUCGUGUCGUGAGAUGUUGGGUUAAGUCCCGCAACGAGCGCAACCCUCGUUCUUUGUUGCCAGCACGUAAUGGUGGGAACUCAAAGGAGACUGCCGGGGUCAACUCGGAGGAAGGUGGGGAUGACGUCAAAUCAUCAUGCCCCUUAUGUCUUGGGCUUCACGCAUGCUACAAUGGCCGAUACAAAGGGCUGCAAUACCGCAAGGUGGAGCGAAUCCCAAAAAGUCGGUCUCAGUUCGGAUUGAGGUCUGCAACUCGACCUCAUGAAGUCGGAGUCGCUAGUAAUCGCAGAUCAGCAACGCUGCGGUGAAUACGUUCCCGGGCCUUGUACACACCGCCCGU